Molecule: ribosomal RNA, 468 nt
Filed under: uncultured bacterium
Lineage: Bacteria
Description: partial 16S ribosomal RNA
Rfam family: Bacterial small subunit ribosomal RNA
Source: RNAcentral
GACGAACGCUGGCGGCGUGCUUAACACAUGCAAGUCGAACGGAAAGGCCCUGCUUUUGUGGGGUGCUCGAGUGGCGAACGGGUGAGUAACACGUGAGUAACCUGCCCUUGACUUUGGGAUAACUUCAGGAAACUGGGGCUAAUACCGGAUGGGAGCUCCUGCUGCAUGGUGGGGGUUGGAAAGUUUCGGCGGUUGGGGAUGGACUCGCGGCUUAUCAGCUUGUUGGUGGGGUAGUGGCUUACCAAGGCUUUGAGGGGUAGCCGGCCUGAGAGGGUAACCGGCGUCAUGGGUCGUGAGUGAGGCCCCAGACGCGAAUGUGGGGCAACGGGGGAAAAUAUGACAGAGGGGGGGGGAGCGAGUGACGACGGCCCCGGGUGGGGAAAACUGGGUUUGGGGGGAAAAACCUCUGCCUCCGGUAACGUGCGUAGCUUGACGGUAAUGAAUAAGAAAGCCCGGGCUAACUACGUG